RNAcentral lists this long non-coding RNA (1726 nucleotides) under Lynx pardinus (Iberian lynx). The record is from RNAcentral. Lineage: Eukaryota; Metazoa; Chordata; Mammalia; Carnivora; Felidae.
CAGGAUGUCUGAGAGAUGUCUAGCGUGGGUGAGGGCUCCCUCCCUCUCUCUCUCUGCCUCUGCUCCUCCUCCUCUUCCCCGGAACCUCUGCCCACCCCCCUCCAGCCCUGAGUUGCUGAUGCCCUUUGGGUUCUGUUUUCAUUCCAGGCUGUGGAUCCGGUCGUGGGAAGCAGGUAGGAAACCAUGAUUCUGGGGGUUAAAUGAAGAAUUAUAUUUAGUGCUCACAGAAAGCCAAAUAUUGGGUUAGCAGCCAGGAAUGGAGAGGGAAAAAACCCAAAGCAAACAGCAGAGGGAAGAAAUUCCUACCAAACAAGGUCCCUAUUCAUUCUUCCAAUCCCAGGUGCAGGGGCCUGCAGGAGUGAGACCCGCUGAAUGUAAGCAGCCCAUCCUGUGCUCAUGGCUGCAGAGAAAUGUGGGGGCUCCAGACUUUGGUGAGACCCUCAAACUCAGAUCUUAUACCGCUGUCCUCGUGGGACCAAAGAGCUCUCAGCCCUCCCCACAAAGGUUGUCAAUAUCUCCACCAGCAAAAGGCGAGCUGCUACAGAGCUCACUAUGUUGACCCUGAGCCCUUUGAGACCCAAGGGUGGGGAGGAGGAGAGCAAAGUGAAAUGUUCCUGGUUUGACCUUGAGCAAGUGAUUGAACCUCCCCGAGCCCCAUGUAUGGAAUGUAAGAGUUGGAUUAUGAUUUCACAGUUCCUAACAUCCUACUAUUCUGUGGCUGUCUAAAACAAAUAAUGAGAAUAAGAGUAUGAACAAGACUACGACAUCUGUCUCUGUAAGAGCUUAGCAUGGGGCCUAGAGAGAUAAAGGAUAUGUCCCAGCUUAUUCCCCACUCAGCCUUCUGUGCCUUGGCCCUCCACAGGGUAAACUUCCAGGGUCUCAGCUGACUCUUCCGGAAAUUCCAGACUCCAGUGACAUGCUUCUGGAACCUUCUCAGACUGCCAGAAAGUCAGAUAACAGUCUGGGCAGGGGAAGGACUGCCACAGCCAGGCUGGCUAACGGGAAAGCUGAUGGGGACUAGAAGUUCAGGGAGACGUUGAGGGUAAGGAGGGAGAGAGACAGAGAAGGGGCAGGAGCGGGAAGACAUUGUAGACCUCCCAAACAUCUUCUGCAGGGUCGUGGAGAAGGCAGCACUUACCCUCCUAACUCCCAGACUCAUUUGUAUCCAGCCACUGACUUAUCCAAUUAUCCACCCCUCCUGUGGAUCUCUCUGUGGGGGAGAUCGACAGUAGGAGGCUGGAUUCCAGGUAAUAAAGAACGUUUAAGAGCCAAAGUUUCUAGUCAGGCAGUACAGAACUGAAUUCUGACUAACUAGAAGAAAGGAAAGACAGGAAUUUCCUGCCCGGGUCUGUCUUUCUCUAUGUGUCUCUAUUUAUUUCCCAUACACUUGGCUCUCUCUGCUUCCCACCCCCUAGUUUCCUCAAAGGGGCCCAAGCUUUGGGAGAAUCUGGGCACCGGUACCCCCUCUGAGCAGGAGAUGCCAACCUAUGGACUGACAUUGCCUGGAACCCUGAAGAAUGCCUCUUCUAAAGAGCCCCAGCCUGAAGGUAGCCCCAUCCACUAACUCAACCCUAGCCAUCCCUAUCUCCUCAGGUUCCAGCACUCAUCAGCAGGGACUCAAAAACACUCGUCUGUCGGGUGAUCCAUAGGACCAAAACCUUGGGAGAAGACACGCAGAGCCAGCCACUGACAAAAUUGUGAAAUAAAGUGAAUUCCUACAAACCUG